CGACGUCUUCAGGGCGGGGUGCAAUUCCCCACCGGCGGUAUGGCUGCCUGCGCAGCCGAGCCCGCGAGCGCUUUUGCCGCCCGGCAAAAGGUCAGCAGAUCUGGUGCGAUGCCAGAGCCGACGGUCACAGUCCGGAUGAAAGAAGAUGACG
RNAcentral lists this non-coding RNA (151 nucleotides) under Vogesella sp. EB. Its description in RNAcentral is "FMN riboswitch aptamer (RFN element)". It matches the Rfam family "FMN riboswitch aptamer (RFN element)". From Rfam's summary of the family: The RFN element is a highly conserved domain that is found frequently in the 5'-untranslated regions of prokaryotic mRNAs that encode for flavin mononucleotide (FMN) biosynthesis and transport proteins. Lineage: Bacteria; Pseudomonadati; Pseudomonadota; Betaproteobacteria; Neisseriales; Chromobacteriaceae. The record is from Rfam by way of RNAcentral. RNAcentral also lists the same sequence under 1 other name.